GAGUUUGAUCAUGGCUCAGAAUGAACGCUGGCGGCGUGCUUAACACAUGCAAGUCGAACGAGAAAGGGAUUGCUUGCAGUCCUGAGUAGAGUGGCGCACGGGUGAGCAACACGUAGAUAAUCUACCUUUGAACCUGGGAUAACUAAUCGAAAGGUUAGCUAAUACCGGAUGAAGUUAAUCGGCAUAAGUUGAUUGAUGAAAGACUGCCUAUCCUUGGAAGCAGUUGUUUGGAGAUGUGCUUGCGGACCAUUAGCUAGUUGGUGGGGUAAAGGCCUACCAAGGCGACGAUGGUUAGCUGGUCUGAGAGGAUGAUCAGCCACACUGGAACUGAAACACGGUCCAGACUCCUACGGGAGGCAGCAGUGAGGAAUUUUGCGCAAUGGGGGCAACCCUGACGCAGCAACGCCGCGUGAGUGAAGAAGGCCUUUGGGUCGCAAAGCUCUGUCAAUCGGGAAGAAGUUAUGGGAGUCGAAUAGGCUUUCAUAUUGACGGUACCGGUGAAGGAAGCAUCGGCUAACUCCGUGCCAGCAGCCGCGGUAAUACGGGGGAUGCAAGCGUUAUUCGGAAUUAUUGGGCGUAA
Molecule: ribosomal RNA, 580 nt
Filed under: Desulfobacteraceae bacterium 175
Lineage: Bacteria; Pseudomonadati; Thermodesulfobacteriota; Desulfobacteria; Desulfobacterales; Desulfobacteraceae
Description: bacterial SSU rRNA
Rfam family: Bacterial small subunit ribosomal RNA
Source: RNAcentral